CAGGGAGACAACAAAAUGUUUAAUAUUAUUAUUUUGUCACCUUAGGUCGAUCGGUAUCUCACGUUCUUAAUUUAUUAAGAAUUUCAUUUCCUAAGUUUUUCUAGGUCACACCCAUUAUUUUCCUGGGCCAUUAGCUCAGGUGGUUAGAGCGCACCCCUGAUAAGGGUGAGGUCCCUGGUUCAAGUCCAGGAUGGCCCAUAUCUCUAUGUUGGGGGUAUAGCUCAGUUGGUAGAGCGCCUGCUUUGCAAGCAGGAUGUCAGCGGUUCGAGUCCGCUUACCUCCACUGAUUACCACCUCUUCCAUAAUCUGUAGAAAGGAAAAUUUUUUGAGUUGUGAUCAUUAUUCUGAACGAAUCUAGCUUCCUAAUGAAAUUAUUAAGAUGCUGGACUCAUUGAAUUAAUUUCAUUGUUUUCAGAGAACCUUGACAACUGCAUAGAUUAUUUUAAAGACAAUAAGCAUCUUUAAUGAUGCAGAUUUAUUAUUUUUGCAAAUGCAUUAAUAACAAUUCUAUUAAGCUGAUGCUUCAAUUAUGAAGUUAUU
RNAcentral lists this transfer RNA (540 nucleotides) under uncultured Prochlorococcus sp. RNAcentral's name for it is "partial 16S-23S ribosomal RNA intergenic spacer". The stretch from base 211 to 283 matches the Rfam family "tRNA". Lineage: Bacteria; Bacillati; Cyanobacteriota; Cyanophyceae; Synechococcales; Prochlorococcaceae. The record is from RNAcentral.